This is a long non-coding RNA of Oncorhynchus keta (chum salmon), 2489 nucleotides long. RefSeq lists it as uncharacterized. NCBI's taxonomy places the organism in Eukaryota, Metazoa, Chordata, Actinopteri, Salmoniformes, Salmonidae. The transcript has 5 exons. The record is from RefSeq and is a predicted model, not a curated record.
AAAUCACCUUGACAUAUGAAGGGACAGAUUAAGUAACUUAAUAAAAGUGUUCUAUGUGUAUCAUACCAGGUACUGUAGAUACACUCAGUACCCCCAUAUCCAGGUAAACAGGUACAUACACUCAGUACCCCAUGAGGACAUCCAGGUAGAUACACUCAGUACCCCGAUAUCCAGGUAAACAGGUACAUACACUCAGUACCCCAUGAGGAUAUCCAGGUAGAUACACUCAGUACCCCAUGAGGAUAUCCAGGUAGAUACACUCAGUACCCCAUGAGGAUAUCCAGGUAGAUACACUCAGUACCCCAUGAGGAUAUCCAGGUAGAUACACUCAGUACCCCAUGAGGAUAUCCAGGUAGAUACACUCAGUACCCCAUGAGGAUAUCCAGGUAGAUACACUCAGUACCCCAUGAGGAUAUCCAGGUAGAUACACUCAGUACCCCAUGAGGAUAUCCAGGUAGAUACACUCAGUACCCCAUGAGGAUAUCCAGGUAGAUACACUCAGUACCCCAUGAGGAUAUCCAGGUAGAUACACUCAGUACCCCAUGAGGAUAUCCAGGUAGAUACACUCAGUACCCCAUGAGGAUAUCCAGGUAGAUACACUCAGUACCCCAUGAGGAUAUCCAGGUAGAUACACUCAGUACCCCAUGAGGAUAUCCAGGUAGAUACACUCAGUACCCCAUGAGGAUAUCCAGGUAGAUACACUCAGUACCCCCAUGAGGAUAUCCAGAUAGAUACACUCAGUACCCCAUGAGGAUAUCCAGGUAGAUACACUCAGUACCCCAUGAGGAUAUCCAGGUAGAUACACUCAGUACCCCAUGAGGACAUCCAGGUAAACAGGUAGAUACAGUCAGUACCCCAUGAGGACAUCCAGGUAAACAGGUAGAUACAGUCGGUACCCCAUGAGGACAUCCAGGUAAACAGGUAGAUACAGUCAGUACCCCAUGAGGACAUCCAGGUAAACAGGUAGAUACAGUCGGUACCCCAUGAGGACAUCCAGGUAAACAGGUAGAUACAGUCAGUACCCCAUGAGGACAUCCAGGUAAACAGGUAGAUACAGUCAGUACCCCAUGAGGACAUCCAGGUAAACAGGUAGAUACAGUCAGUACCCCAUGAGGACAUCCAGGUAAACAGGAAGUGGAGCUGGGAAAACACCUCUCUCUUACCUCACUUUAAGCUGCUGUUUGCACCUGUACUUUUAGAUGUCAUUUUUUCCUAGUGUGUAGUCGGUUCAGCUCUUUCCCUACAGUGAUAUCACUUAUUAACUUAUGUUGCCUGCAAAAUCGGCACCCUAUUCCCUAUGUAGUGCACUACUUUUAACAGGCACCUAUGGACCGUGGUCAAAAGUAGUGCACUAUAUAGGGAAUAGGGUGCUAUUUGUGAAGCAACCAAAGAGUGUUGCCAAGUAGUUUCGUAUUGGCUCAGUUGGUAGAGCAGUGCUUGCAACACUGGGGUUGUGGGUUCAAGUCCCAUGGGAAUGGACUACUGUAAGUUGUUCUGGGUAAGAGUGCCUGCUAAAUGAUUAAAUGUGAAUAAAUGCAGUGUAACUCUCACAGAACAGGUUGUGUUUGCCUGUGAUACGGUGUGGGUGGUGCCAUUGGUAUUAAACAAUAGCGUUGAACGGUUGCACAAUCCCGUGUAGGCUUUCUUCAGAAUUUACUUCAACAGUCAAGUAAAUGAAUACCCACAUGCCUUGGGGCAAGUGCUAUUUUUAUUCUAUUACCGCGAAAACAAUGGUGAGACAAUGAUGUCAAAUGUAUUUACAUCAGCUGAUAUCGCAAAGUGCUGUACAGAAACCCAGCCUAAAACCCCAAACAGGAAGCAAUGCAGAUGUAGAAGCAGCUAAACAGAAAUAUCACAUCUUUGUGUAGAAAGAUUGGUGUCGGUGUUCUAUUAUAAUAGCAUUCUAAGGGUAUUCCAAUCCUUCAGGCAUUAGAAUUUACUGUGAGAGUUGAGCCAGAAUUCUAUUAAUGUAUUCUAUUAAUUAUAUUUCUAUUAACACCCCUUUGUGUCAGUGGUAUUUGUGUUCUAUUAUAGCAUUCUGGGAGUAACCCAAUCCUUUAGUCUGUAGUAGACUGUACGGUGAGAGUUGAGCCAGCUAGCCGAUUAACUGGAACAGUGGCUCAUUGUGAAAUACAUCAUGCACCAGUUGGUGGUAUUCAUGUAGUUUUAAAAGGUUGAAACUAUCAGCUUUAAAAAUGUUUUCCCCGUUAAGAGGCAAUAGUGCUCUGCUGCGUGGUUCUGUACAUAGCUUGUUCCGAAGACAAUGAUGAAAAGACGGCAUUCGCAACUUGAGAACAACAUAAUGUCCACAGUCCCCGUCCUACAACCUGGUCUCAAAGACUACCACCGCAAAACUUCUGCUUUUCAGCCAUAGAAAUGCAGAUAGAUAUUUCUGACACCAAGCAUUGCCAUAAAGGGAAUUAGUGUGCUAUUGUGUUUGUCAUGUUUAAAUUACAACAUAGUGCAGAUUCAAACACACUCUGUUAAGU